CAGGGUUGCAAAACUCUCAGACCACUGUGAACUUACCAACCGUUGCUUCGGCGGGCCGGCCCUACGGCCGCGUGGGCCCCCCGAAAGGGGGGCGCCCGCCGGAGGUACCUAAACCACUGACGUUUUUGUAUGGCCUCUCUGAGCAACUGUACCGAAUAAGUCA
RNAcentral lists this unclassified non-coding RNA (163 nucleotides) under uncultured Ascomycota. RNAcentral's name for it is "sequence contains ITS1". The record is from RNAcentral. Lineage: Eukaryota; Fungi; Ascomycota.